GACGAACGCUGGCGGCGUGCUUAACACAUGCAAGUCGAACGCUGAAGCUCAGCUUGCUGGGUGGAUGAGUGGCGAACGGGUGAGUAACACGUGAGUAACCUGCCCUCUUCUUUGGGAUAACGCCCGGAAACGGGUGCUAAUACUGGAUAUUCACUGAUUCUCGCAUGGGGGUUGGUGGAAAGGUUUUUUCUGGUGGGGGAUGGGCUCGCGGCCUAUCAGCUUGUUGGUGGGGUGAUGGCCUACCAAGGCUUUGACGGGUAGCCGGCCUGAGAGGGUGACCGGUCACAUUGGGACUGAGAUACGGCCCAGACUCCUACGGGAGGCAGCAGUGGGGAAUAUUGCACAAUGGGCGAAAGCCUGAUGCAGCGACGCCACGUGAGGGAUGGAGGCCUUCGGGUUGUAAACCUCUUUCGCUCAUGGUCAAGCCGCAGCUUUGGGUUGUGGUGAGGGUAGUGGGUAAAGAAGCGCCGGCUAACUACGUG
Molecule: ribosomal RNA, 482 nt
Filed under: uncultured bacterium
Lineage: Bacteria
Description: partial 16S ribosomal RNA
Rfam family: Bacterial small subunit ribosomal RNA
Source: RNAcentral